GACGAACGCUGGCGGCGUGCUUAACACAUGCAAGUCGAACGGAAAGGCCCUGCUUUUGUGGGGUGCUCGAGUGGCGAACGGGUGAGUAACACGUGAGUAACCUGCCCUUGACUUUGGGAUAACUUCAGGAAACUGGGGCUAAUACCGGAUAGGAGCUCCUGCUUCAUGGUGGGGGUUGGACAGUUUCGGCGGUUGGGGAUGGACUCGCGGCUUAUCAGCUUGUUGGUGGGGUAGUGGCUUACCAAGGCUUUGACGGGUAGCCGGCCUGAGAGGGUGACCGGCAACAUUGGGACUGAGAUACGGCGCAGACUCCUACGGGAGGCAGCAGUGGGGAAUAUUGCACAAUGGGCGGAAGCCUGAUGCAGCAACGCCGCGUGCGGGAUGAAGGCCUUCGGGUUGUAAACCGCUUUCGCCUGUGACGAAGCGUGAGUGACGGUAAUGGGUAAAGAAGCACCGGCUAACUACGUG
This 468-nucleotide ribosomal RNA is filed under the name uncultured bacterium. RNAcentral's name for it is "partial 16S ribosomal RNA". It matches the Rfam family "Bacterial small subunit ribosomal RNA", at positions 28 to 507 of the family's 1533-position model. The record is from RNAcentral.